This 3232-nucleotide long non-coding RNA is filed under the name Marmota monax (woodchuck). The record is from RNAcentral. Lineage: Eukaryota; Metazoa; Chordata; Mammalia; Rodentia; Sciuridae.
GGGCAGGGAUGGGGACAGGGACAGGUAGGAGCAGGGACAUUGGCCCCUGGGCAGAAGAGGAGACCCUUUUGGCCAGUGGGAGGGGAGACUGUUUCCAACCUGCUUGGAGGGGAGUCUGGGUAGCCUCAGCACACGGCUCAAGCUGGCCGGGCUGGCCCUGAGCCAUGCCUGAUGGACACAACAGGCCGUGGUGACCCCAGCUGGAACUUCCCGUUGCUAGGCACAGGCUGGGGCACCCUGAGGAGCCAUGCGUCAUCUGAGGAUGGUAGAAGAGGGCCAGGAGGACAUCUCGGACCAGGCGCGCGUGGGCCCAGCCCCCGAAGCCCUGGCAGACAACAGCGUCCUCAGGGCCCAGGUGGGGUGCGUCUGGCCAUGAGCCAACUGUCCCCAUGCAGACACCACCCCUGAAAAACUGUGUUUUGUACCAAAAGAUAAACUAGGGGACCCUGGGGCCCUUCCCGGAGGGAGCUUGGUUUCCAGGUUGUCCUGAGAGCCCUCACGAGCCCCUUCUCUGUGACGUCUGACCGCACCUGCGUCCCCUGCCCGUUUGUCCUUGUUGUCACCGUGGGAAAAGCCUGAGGAAGAACAGAUAAGCCGAGGCUUCGCUGAGGUGAGAAACGGCUCGUCCGUGAUCGCUGCCCGGUCAGCUGCCCAGCCUCUCGGCCAGCUCUCGGUUCUGUUGGCCGGGGCUGCUUUCCUGCCGUUCAUUGGGGGGAUCCCUGUUCUUGGGCGUCUCAGGCGUGGUGUCCACAGGCCCGGAACCUGCCGAGUCCUCCAGGGGAGGCUGGUGGCUCGACCCUUCGCCCGCACCCUGGCCUGCCUCGAGUCCGGCAGGCCCGCCUCCUGGACAGACCACUGGCCCUGGGCCCUGGUGUGGGCUGCCUCACGGGGCGCUCCGGCCGGAACCUCGUGCAGUGGCCUUGGCCCCUUCCAGAGUUGACUCGCCUGGGACCUCAGGACUGUCCAGCAGGCCCCGGGGACAGCAGUGGGGACAUCUGAGCUCAGCGGCACAGGGCCACCUGCCUCAGCUCCCACCGUUCCCCUUAGACCAACUGUCAUCAGUGAACGGAGGUGACGAACGUCCCAAGGGCCAGCCCCGUCUUCCCUCCACGCAGACUUGGGCAAGGUGCCCCCGCAGAGCCUCGGUGUCCUUGUGGGUAACAGCCACAGCCCUAGGGCAGAGACCCACGACCCCCACUUCCGUAUCCUCCUCCUGGGUGUCCCUUGGUGAGCCGCGGAUGGGGCUGGGCAGCCGCCUCCAGGGUCCAGGGUCGCCCACCUCCUUCUCUGGGUGAGGCUCCUCCACCUCCUCUCGGCCAACCCCACCGCCCUGGUGGCCACCCAGCCACAGGCUUCUCCUCCCACAGACCUGGCCGGACCCAGUGUCCUCUGUGCCACGUGGGCCGUACUGUCCGUUCUCGGCCCCUCGGCUCCCUCUGCUGGUCUCUACCUGCUCCCAGAGCUGCCGGAGAGCCCCAGGACGUCCCCUGCCCUCCCGGGGCCUCACAGCUCCUCCUGGUGACCUCCGGAGUUGGCUCGGCCAGGCCGCCCGGGACUCCAGGGCCUGCAGCUGCUCUUCUGCUGACCCGGGCAGGGAGCGUGUCUCGAUGGGCUCAGGAGGCCCAAGCUGGGACUGCAGCUGCCACCGGCAGGGACGGAGCCUGUCUGGGCCCCCUGGGCCUGCAGAUGUGGCCACUUCCCCUGUCCCCGGAAGCCAGCUCAGACCCCGAGGGUUUGCAGUUCAUAUUCUUUUGGCAAAACACCAGCUUUUCUUUUCGAAGGGAGAAAGCAAAACACAGAGAGGCACCCACAUAACAUCUUGGAAAACUGCAUUUUGAUGAGUGAGCGAAUCAGAACCACAUGCGGCACCUCCCUGGUCUCCUGGAGGGGUGGAAAGCCGCGGGGACAGCAGUGGGGACGGAGGGUGAGGGGCCGGGUCCCCGAGGCAAGGUCCUGCACGCAGAGGGAGAGGUGACCUUCCUCUGACUUUCCUUCCCCUCUGGACCAGGCUCCGGGGUCUGGUUCACGGCCAGGAAAGGGUAGUGGAUGGACACUAAGCUUGUGUGGUUGACCCCGAGAGCGGCCUCCAAAUCUCUCCCCGGGGACAGGCCAGGGAUAUCGGUUGGAGCCGAGUGUCUGUAAGCAGGUUCUGAGGUGAGAGUGUUGAUUUUCCUCUUUUCGACUGGUCUUGUUCUGCCGAUGCAGACGGGCCCAGAGGCAGACUCUCUGUCCUGCACCAAGCAGGACCCGGGCAGGACCCAGGAGGGACAGGCCUUUCGGCUUCCUCACCUACAGCCAAGGGAAACUUGAAAGGUCUUUAUUCUUGUCCCUAGUCUCCCAGGAGCAGGUGACUGCACCAGCCACCCGCCUGACCUGUGUCCUGAAGGUACACAGUGUUUAAUGAGCCUCACGCAGUAGGAGACCCCAGAGCCACAGAUUCCACCCUGCACCUCAAGGGGAGCUGCUCUUCUGCUCGUUUUACAAACAAGGCGACUGAGGCACAGAGGGGUUAAGAAAAUUAACCAAGGCCACACAGCCAAGAGUUGGCAAACCUGGGACUUGCCCCAAAGUCUUUGCCAAUGCAAAAGCCUGAACUUCUGUUAUGUCCUUUAAAAUACCUCUGCUUUUGGAAUUUGUGGCACUCACCUAAAAAGUAUUUUUUUGUGUGUGUGAUAUUCCUACUUUCCUCCUGUCACUUAAUAAAAACCUCUGCCACCCUCUAAGCCAGGUUUCCUGGGUCCACAGAGCCUCCUUUUCUGUCCCCCCCCCCCAGGAUCUGCCAGCCAGGGCCCGCUGUGUGUUAGACAAGCGCCUACCACUGAGCUGCUCAGCCCUCCCUGAAGAUGCUUGGGAACUCAGAUCGGCCAGGACUCUGCCACCUCCAGUCUCUAGACACCGGUGCCUUCCUGGGGCUGCGCAGUCACCCCACAGCAGAGAAGCCGCUUGGCGCCAUGACCAGCAGCCGGGCUUGGACCCACACACAGUGCGUUUAACCCCUCGCUGGAGACUAUGUGGCUCAGAGUUCUCGUCUACACAGCAGGCAGAAGGAACCUGGGUGAGAGACACGCGGCUGCCGGGCGCUGGCUUGAGCCCCUUCCCCUGACCCCGCGCUCUCCCAGGAGCGUGACAAUCACUGACUGUGGGAGAGGCUGGAUUAGGCCUCCACUCCUGAGUUUAGAGGACAGCGGCGUGGGGCUGUGGGGGCCAUGGUGGAGGAAAACUCGGAGGGAAC